RNAcentral lists this long non-coding RNA (335 nucleotides) under Elaeis guineensis (African oil palm). RNAcentral describes it as "long non-coding RNA (EGUI_LNC062796)". Lineage: Eukaryota; Viridiplantae; Streptophyta; Magnoliopsida; Arecales; Arecaceae. The record is from RNAcentral.
CUUGUAUAUCACAUCAGUGUCUUCACACUUCUUGAUUAAAAAGAUAAUCAAUCUAUAUGGCAUACAAUGACCUACAUUUGAUAAACAUCAUCAUCGUUUAAUGACGUAUCAUUUGAUCGUGAAUAUGUUUAAAAACUAUUUGAUAAAUUAUCUUUUAUCGAUUGUCAUAUAGUUCUAAAGACUUCAUCACAAUAUUAGAGUUCAAUCAAGAAAGAUGUAAUCUUGUGAUGAAUAUGUCAAAUAAUUUUUAUUAUUUCAUAAUUCAUAUAUAAAAAAUAAAGAGUACAAUCAUCCAAAUGAUUGACUUUAAGAUACAUUUUCUAACAGAUACCCAU